GAUGAACGCUGGCGGCGUGCCUAAUACAUGCAAGUCGAGCGAACAGACGAGGAGCUUGCUCCUCUGACGUUAGCGGCGGACGGGUGAGUAACACGUGGAUAACCUACCUAUAAGACUGGGAUAACUUCGGGAAACCGGAGCUAAUACCGGAUAAUAUAUUGAACCGCAUGGUUCAAUAGUGAAAGACGGUUUUGCUGUCACUUAUAGAUGGAUCCGCGCCGCAUUAGCUAGUUGGUAAGGUAACGGCUUACCAAGGCAACGAUGCGUAGCCGACCUGAGAGGGUGAUCGGCCACACUGGAACUGAGACACGGUCCAGACUCCUACGGGGGGCAGCAGUAGGGAAUCUUCCGCAAUGGGCGAAAGCCUGACGGAGCAACGCCGCGUGAGUGAUGAAGGUCUUCGGAUCGUAAAACUCUGUUAUUAGGGAAGAACAAAUGUGUAAGUAACUAUGCACGUCUUGACGGUACCUAAUCAGAAAGCCACGGCUAACUACUUG
RNAcentral lists this ribosomal RNA (497 nucleotides) under uncultured bacterium. RNAcentral describes it as "partial 16S ribosomal RNA". It matches the Rfam family "Bacterial small subunit ribosomal RNA", at positions 28 to 507 of the family's 1533-position model. The record is from RNAcentral.